GCAAACUUGGUCAUUUAGAGGAAGUAAAAGUCGUAACAAGGUUUCCGUAGGUGAACCUGCGGAAGGAUCAUUAAUGAGUGAUUUGAUCCAGUUUUGGAUCGGUUACCCGACCUUUUGUCAUGAGCUCCGGGAGGGACGUAGUCCUGACCGGGAAAAGUAACUUCGGCGGAAGAGGUAGGCGUUUUUGACCUGCCCGCCGCCGGCCUAUAUUUUCCAAUUCUUGCGAGAACGAUGAAGAUAGAGAAACAGAAUACAAAAUGAAAAAGCAAAACUUUCAACAACGGAUCUCUUGGCUCUGGCAUCGAUGAAGAACGCAGC
RNAcentral lists this unclassified non-coding RNA (318 nucleotides) under uncultured fungus. RNAcentral's name for it is "partial contains small subunit ribosomal RNA, internal transcribed spacer 1, and 5.8S ribosomal RNA". The stretch from base 1 to 73 matches the Rfam family "Eukaryotic small subunit ribosomal RNA", at positions 1759 to 1831 of the family's 1831-position model. The record is from RNAcentral. Lineage: Eukaryota; Fungi.